Molecule: ribosomal RNA, 426 nt
Filed under: Genolevuria amylolytica
Lineage: Eukaryota; Fungi; Basidiomycota; Tremellomycetes; Tremellales; Bulleraceae
Description: LSU rRNA
Rfam family: Eukaryotic large subunit ribosomal RNA
Source: RNAcentral
GUUGUAAUCUAUAGAAACGUUUUCCGUGCCGGACCGCGUCCAAGUCCCUUGGAACAGGGUAUCAAAGAGGGUGACAAUCCCGUACUUGACGCGACGACCGGUGCUCUGUGAUACGUUCUCUACGAGUCGAGUUGUUUGGGAAUGCAGCUCAAAACGGGUGGUGAAUUCCAUCUAAGGCUAAAUAUUGGCGAGAGACCGAUAGCGAACAAGUACCGUGAGGGAAAGAUGAAAAGCACUUUGGAAAGAGAGUUAAACAGUAUGUGAAAUUGUUGAAAGGGAAACGAUUGAAGUCAGUCGUGACCUUGGGAUUCAGCCGGCCCUGCCGGUGUAUUUCUCAAGGUCGGGUCAACAUCAGUUUCGAUCGGUGGAUAAUGGCUGCUGGAACGUGGCUCCCUCGGGAGUGUUAUAGCCUGCUGUCGCAUACAC